Molecule: ribosomal RNA, 845 nt
Filed under: Curvularia australiensis
Lineage: Eukaryota; Fungi; Ascomycota; Dothideomycetes; Pleosporales; Pleosporaceae
Description: eukaryotic LSU rRNA
Rfam family: Eukaryotic large subunit ribosomal RNA
Source: RNAcentral
CAGGGAUUGCCCUAGUAACGGCGAGUGAAGCGGCAACAGCUCAAAUUUGAAAUCUGGCUCUUUCAGAGUCCGAGUUGUAAUUUGCAGAGGGCGCUUUGGCUUUGGCAGCGGUCCAAGUUCCUUGGAACAGGACGUCACAGAGGGUGAGAAUCCCGUACGUGGUCGCUAGCUAUUGCCGUGUAAAGCCCCUUCGACGAGUCGAGUUGUUUGGGAAUGCAGCUCUAAAUGGGAGGUAAAUUUCUUCUAAAGCUAAAUACUGGCCAGAGACCGAUAGCGCACAAGUAGAGUGAUCGAAAGAUGAAAAGCACUUUGGAAAGAGAGUCAAACAGCACGUGAAAUUGUUGAAAGGGAAGCGCUUGCAGCCAGACUUGCUUGCAGUUGCUCAUCCGGGCUUUUGCCCGGUGCACUCUUCUGCAGGCAGGCCAGCAUCAGUUUGGGCGGUGGGAUAAAGGUCUCUGACACGUUCCUUCCUUCGGGUUGGCCAUAUAGGGGAGACGUCAUACCACCAGCCUGGACUGAGGUCCGCGCAUCUGCUAGGAUGCUGGCGUAAUGGCUGUAAGCGGCCCGUCUUGAAACACGGACCAAGGAGUCUAACAUCUAUGCGAGUGUUUGGGUGUCAAGCCCGAGCGCGUAAUGAAAGUGAACGGAGGUGGGAACCCGCAAGGGCGCACCAUCGACCGAUCCUGAAGUUUACGGAAGGAUUUGAGUAAGAGCAUGGCUGUUGGGACCCGAAAGAUGGUGAACUAUGCUUGAAUAGGGUGAAGCCAGAGGAAACUCUGGUGGAGGCUCGCAGCGGUUCUGACGUGCAAAUCGAUCGUCAAAUUUGGGCAUAGGGGCGAAAGACU